This 728-nucleotide ribosomal RNA is filed under the name uncultured archaeon. RNAcentral's name for it is "bacterial SSU rRNA". It matches the Rfam family "Archaeal small subunit ribosomal RNA", at positions 8 to 748 of the family's 1478-position model. The record is from RNAcentral.
UUGAUCCUGCCGGACCUGACUGCUAUCUGAUUGGUACUAAGCCAUGCGAGUCAUUGUACAAUACAAGGCGGCACGGCUCAGCUAACACAGUAAGUCAAGCCUAACCUCGUGAGGCGUGGAUAACCUCGGGAAACUGAGAAUAAACCACGAUAGCCAUUAUGCCUGGAAUGGCUUAUGGUCCAAACAGUUUACUGCCAUGGGAUGGGACUGCGGACUAUCAGCUUGUUGGUGAGGUAAUGGCCCACCAAGGCUAUAACAGGUACGGGCUCUGAGAGGAGAAGCCCGGAGAUGGGUACUGAGACACGGACCCAGGCCCUAUGGGGCGCAGCAGGCGAGAAACCUUAGCAAUGUGCGAAAGCACGACUGGGUCAGUCCGAGUGAUUCCUGAUAAAGGAGUCUUUUGCUUGUCCUAAAAGCACAGGUGAAUAAGGGGUGGGCAAGUCUGGUGUCAGCCGCCGCGGUAAUACCAGCACCUCGAGUGGUCAGGACGUUUAUUGGGCCUAAAGCAUCCGUAGCCGGCUCUGACAGUCUUCGGUUAAAUCCACCUGCUCAACAGAUGGGCCGCUGGAGAUACUACAGAGCUACGGAGUGGGAGAAGCAGACGGGAUUCACUGGGUACGGGUAACAUCCUCUGAUCCCUUGAGGACCACCAGUGGCGAACGCGGUCUGCAGAACACGUCGACGGGAGGGAUGAAGUUGGGGAGCAACGGAUUGUACCGGGUAGUCCC